UUCAUACCUGAGAGAACAGAAAUAGACCUUGACGGGCAGUUAUCAAAUGUGAGGAGACAACGUUUUACCUGCCUGAAGAACCCCUUUCAGAAGGGAGCAAAUCAGGUUAAGAACAUCAUUCCUCUCCUGUUUUUCAAUCACACCUGCUAAAUACGAGAUUCCAUUUGUUCCACGUGGGUUUAGAAAUGCCAGUUUCACCAUAGUAAGCAGCUUUUUUGUUAUUAUUAUUAUCCUUGAGUGACCUUGCAAACACAUACGAGAACAAUACUGAUUCGACUUACACGUGGCUGAGAAAUGCCUCCGUUUGCUCGCAGUUAAGGUUGCCAACUGACAAACAGUAUACAGUGGUACCUCAGGUUACAUACGCUUCAGGUUACAUACGCUUCAGGUUAAGGACUCCGCUAACCCAGAAAUAUUACCUCGGGUUAAGAACUUUGCUUCAGGAUGAGAACAGAAAUCGUACUCCGGCAUCGUGGUGGCAGCAGGAAGCCCCAUUAGCUAAAGUGGUGCUUCAGGUUAAGAACAGUUUCAGGUUAAGAACGGACCUCCGGAACGAAUUAAGUACUUAACUUGAGGUAUACCACUGUAUAGGCACAAUAAGAACCUUAUGCUCUUGGCCGGUUGCAAAUAAAAUAGAUCAGCUGAGGCCUUUUUACUGUUGGUACACAUGUAUGAAUUAAUUGCGACAGUGCACAUGUGAACACUAAGGCAUGACAGCAGGACAAAGAACUGAAUUUGGGAUAUUGGGGGCAGGGGGAGUGCAUACUGAAUUUGAGAGUAGGCACAAGAGUAGACCUGGCUUCUUUGACCACAGCCCCAUGGUAAAAUUGGAGCAUAUGAUCAGCUUUUAACUCUGGCCUGGAUCAUGCUGUAAGUCAGGGUUUCCCAAACUUGAGUUUCCAGCUGUUUUUGGACUACAACUCCCAUCAUCCCUAGCUAGCAGGACCAGAGGUUAGUGAGGAUGGUGGGAAUUGUAGUUCAAAAGCAGCUGGAGACCCAAGUUUGGGAAACCCUGUCUAAGUUGUUGUUUAAAAAUGCAAAGCACAUUUCAUUUUCUUCUGAAAUGUUAACUACUCAGUUGACUGGGGUGAUCUUUUUUAACCUAAAAAAUUGAAAUUUAAUCCAUAACACAUAUGUAAAUGCCUUCUCUUUUGACAGUGCUGCUAUGCAUCUUUGUGCUUGUUUCUUUUCAUAUUGCUGGAAUUGGUGGUCAGCAAAAUCUCCUUAUUUCCUUUACCUUUCUUACUGAACAACUUUAUGCAUCAUGAAGACGCAGUUUGGAUGGCUUUAGAGAAUGUAAAUCUAUCAAUGGUUCCUAGUCAUCAGGACUGUAAAAAAAAAAAACAGGUAAAGGACCCCUGGUCAGUUAAGUCCAGUCAAAGGUGACUAUGGGGUUGCGGCACUCAUCUUGCUUUCAGGCCAAGGGAGCUGGUGUUUGUCCACAGACAGCUUUCCGGGUCAUGUGGCCAGCAUGACUAACACGCUUCUGGUGCAACGGGACACUGUGAUGGAAGCCAGAGCGAACAGAAACGCUGAUUACCUUCCUGCCAUAGUGGUACCUAUUUAUCUACUUGCAUUGGCAUGCUCUCAAACUGUUAGGUGGGCAGGAGCAACGGGAGCUCACUCCGUCAUGUGGAUUUGAGCUGGGACAGAGCAACGGGAGCUCACUCCGUCACAUGGAUUCGAACCACUGACCUUCCAAUUGGCAAGCUACCCGCACUCCUUCAUCGUGACUGUAUGAAUAAUAAUAAUAGUAAUAAUUUAUUAUUUAUACCCCAUUCAUCUGGCUGGGUUUUCUCUGCUCAGUCACUCUGGGUGGCUCCCAACAGAAUAUCAACAACAACAACAACAAUAAUGUGAUAAAACAUCAAACAUAAAAAACUUCCCUAAACAGGGCUGCCUUCAGAUGUCUUCUAAAAGUCAGAUAGUUGUUUAUUUCCUUGACAUCUGAUGGGGGGAGUGUUCCACAGGGUGGGCACCACUACCGAGAAGGCCCUCCGCCUGUUUCCCUCGCUUCUCACAGUGAGGGAACUGCCAGAAGGCCAUUGGAGCUGGACCUCAGUGUCAGGGCUGUACGAUGGGGGUGGAGACGCUCCUUCAGGUAUACUGGGCCAAAGUGUCUCCAGAGGCACCAUGCUAUUGGAGAGCAACACCUGGAGAGGACUGUAGGUCCUGCUUGUGAGCAUCUCAGAGGCAUCUGGUUAGAGAAACCAAUGUAGUACUGAUUUUGUUGGACUUCAGCUCUCAUCAGUCGCAGCCAGCAUGGCCAUGAUAGGGCACGAUAGGAGUUGUAGUCUAGCAGCAUCUGAAAGACACCAAGUUGGUCACCCCCGGGUUAGAUGCUGUAGGAAGCUGCAUGCUGGUCUAGUUGAACCAUCGGUCAAGUAUGGCUCUUCCAAUGUCUAUUGCAAGUCUGUGACCCCGCAGGGCUUUUGUUAUAUUCACAUCCCUAUCACUCAUGUUAUCAAAUAAUAGGGCCUAGCCAAACUGUCCUAAACAUUAAUAGAUUGGAUUAUCUAUAUAAUCACUGCAAUUACCUAUGCUUCCACUCAGACCGUGUGCAAUCUUUUCGUUCCGAUAGCACUUAGGGAUAGAAAUCUUAUUUUCAUAGAACGACUAGAGUUUUAUCCCCAGAGAUGCAAUAUAUUCCUCCGAGAAGCGACAAGAAAAUGACCGAAAAGUGAAUUUUUAAAUGAGCUACGUUUUGUAUCACAAGAUGAGCGCAUUUGAAAAGCUUUCCCCUUCUCCUUCCUGCUAAUGACCUGGCUUUACACGCUUGAGGCACAUUAGGAACCGGAGGUCGGAGGAGAUGAGUUUGAUAGAAGUGUGCAGGAUUGCAGAAAUGGAGUUCACCUGCUCAAAAUUGAAGCUUCUCGUAGCAAGCAAUUUGAUGAGUGCUUUUGUAUAAGCAACCAAGCUUAACUGAAAAACCUUUCCCUUUUUUUUUAAUAUGAAGAGCCUAGCUCCACGAGGGGAAGAAAUCGAACCUUUCUGUAGCCACCGACUUUGUUAAAUGAUUGGUUUGCAUCAAGUUGCCCCGCAUAGCUGCCAACGUUUCCCUUUUUUUAAGGGAAAUUCCCUUACUCCGAAUAGGAUUCCUCGCAAGAAAAGGGAAAAGUUGACAGCUAUGUUGACCUGUGAAAGGGCCCCAGCCCUUGACUCAGUGUCCCAGACACACACGUACACCAACUGUAUUGAAAAGAAAAUAUUUGGUACUCUGCAGUUGAUGUCUGUUUGUUUUUUAAAAAGUUUGCCCAAUAUAGAUUGUGGAGAGACAGGGAAAUGGGUGCAGCAGUGAAAUCAACAGACCAGAAGAGAAACCCUCUGGCAGCAGAGCAGCUGAGUUGGUGAAUCUGUCCUUUUGCACACUGCUAGCAUUGACUACUUGGGUUGGGACAUGUGCCUUGCCAGCUUGGUCCAUGCUAUCAGCAUGAAUGAGCAUUACAGCUCCGUGAGCAGUCUGAGUUCCAGAUUCCGCUGGUGUUUGCAUCUGACCUUCGGCUGCCAAGUCAAGCUAACGGCAGCAGCUUCAAACAAUAGGAAGGUUAGCCCUCGGCGAUUCCUGCCUAGCCGAAAGAUUAGGGAGCUGUUCUCUUGCACUUCAGGCAUGCCUUCACGGAAGCUUCCUGUAUUCUGGCUUCGGAAAGGCAGCUUGCAAUCGAUCAGGUCUCCAGGAAUGGCAGACAGGACCACGCAGAAUGGAGGAUGCUAAGUUGCAGGGCAUGGCGUUAAUCCCACAUCAUGCACCGGCCUGACAACCGUUUCUGCAAGCUUCAGAGGAUGUGGGGAGAAGCACCCUGCUUGAAAAGAUGGAAUGAAUCAAGACAUAUCUUGUAAGCAAGAGCUGUGGGGUCAUGGCUUUGAUGCAGGAAUAUUGGAGAAUGGGCAUCUGCUAAAUAAAAUCCAGAAAUGUAGA
Podarcis lilfordi (Lilford's wall lizard) is the source of this 3916-nucleotide non-coding RNA. NCBI's taxonomy places the organism in Eukaryota, Metazoa, Chordata, Lepidosauria, Squamata, Lacertidae. The record is from the annotation of a GenBank genome assembly.